UAUAAAUUUCAUAUAGCCACGACAUUCUAUCAACAUACAUUGGGGGUAAAUGAAGCGACAUAGACCUGGAGGGGUCUACAAAAGGUGCACAGGUGGAGAUAUAAAGAUGACAAGGUGUGCACAUGCUCCCUAGAGAACCAGCAACAACCCAUCAGGUUUAUUUCAAUAAUGAUCCUUCCGCAGGUUCACCUACGGAAA
Molecule: unclassified non-coding RNA, 198 nt
Filed under: uncultured fungus
Lineage: Eukaryota; Fungi
Description: sequence contains ITS1
Source: RNAcentral